RNAcentral lists this ribosomal RNA (465 nucleotides) under Vreelandella stevensii. Its description in RNAcentral is "partial 16S ribosomal RNA". It matches the Rfam family "Bacterial small subunit ribosomal RNA", at positions 338 to 795 of the family's 1533-position model. Lineage: Bacteria; Pseudomonadati; Pseudomonadota; Gammaproteobacteria; Oceanospirillales; Halomonadaceae. The record is from RNAcentral.
CCUACGGGCGGCAGCAGUGGGGAAUAUUGGACAAUGGGCGAAAGCCUGAUCCAGCCAUGCCGCGUGUGUGAAGAAGGCCUUCGGGUUGUAAAGCACUUUCAGUGGGGAAGAAAGCCUUGGGGCUAAUACCCUCGAGGAAGGACAUCACCCACAGAAGAAGCACCGGCUAACUCCGUGCCAGCAGCCGCGGUAAUACGGAGGGUGCGAGCGUUAAUCGGAAUUACUGGGCGUAAAGCGCGCGUAGGCGGUCUGAUAAGCCGGUUGUGAAAGCCCCGGGCUCAACCUGGGAACGGCAUCCGGAACUGUCAGGCUAGAGUGCAGGAGAGGAAGGUAGAAUUCCCGGUGUAGCGGAGAAAUGCGUAGAGAUCGGGAGGAAUACCAGUGGCGAAGGCGGCCUUCUGGACUGACACUGACGCUGAGGUGCGAAAGCGUGGGUAGCAAACAGGAUUAGAUACCCCGGUAGUC